This 83-nucleotide small RNA is filed under the name Enterobacter hormaechei subsp. xiangfangensis. RNAcentral describes it as "partial RtT sRNA". It matches the Rfam family "RtT RNA", at positions 49 to 130 of the family's 130-position model. Rfam says of the family: This family represents a bacterial cis-regulatory element known as RtT RNA. The exact function of RtT is unknown although it is thought that it may be involved in changing the cellular response in relation to amino acid starvation. The record is from RNAcentral. Lineage: Bacteria; Pseudomonadati; Pseudomonadota; Gammaproteobacteria; Enterobacterales; Enterobacteriaceae.
CGAGCGUAGCGAGAAAGCGUUGCCGCAGGCAACGACCCGAAGGGCGAAGCGCGAAGCGCUGAGUAAUCCUUCCCCCACCACCA